GCCACUUCAAUCGUCUUUUUUGAUUAACAAUGGUGAGCUCUGCUUCGGGUGGCCACCUUAUAGUGGCCAACCAAACCAAACUUAGUUCAGACAUGAAGACAAUCAACUUCAAAGCCAUUCUUCAUCCACUGCCCAUACUUGUUCUUCAUCUUCUCAUCUAGCACCUUUGCCUUGGCCUCUGCCAUCUUGCCUCUUCCUACACUUGAGCC
RNAcentral lists this long non-coding RNA (209 nucleotides) under Elaeis guineensis (African oil palm). RNAcentral describes it as "long non-coding RNA (EGUI_LNC024006)". Lineage: Eukaryota; Viridiplantae; Streptophyta; Magnoliopsida; Arecales; Arecaceae. The record is from RNAcentral.